Molecule: non-coding RNA, 168 nt
Organism: Pelobates cultripes (western spadefoot toad)
Lineage: Eukaryota; Metazoa; Chordata; Amphibia; Anura; Pelobatidae
Source: the annotation of a GenBank genome assembly
GCAGACACAUUCCAGCCAAUCAGCAGCAGACCCUCCCUCCAAGACCCUCCCACCUCCUGGACAGCAUCCAUUUUACAUUCAUUGUGAAGCUGCAUUCUUAGUGAACUGUCCAGGAGGUGGGAGGGUCUGGGAGGGAGGGUCUGCUGCUGAUUGGCUGGAAUGUGUCUG